CCCUAUGGGGUGCAGCAGGCGCGGAACCUCUACAAUGCACGCAAGUGUGAUAGGGGGAUCCCAAGUGCUCAAGCAUUGCUUGGGCUUUUGCUAAGUGUAAAUAGCUUGGCGAAUAAGUGGUGGGAAAGACUGGUGCCAGCCGCCGCGGUAACACCAGCGCCACGAGUGGCAAUCACGUUUAUUGGGCCUAAAGCGUCCGUAGCAGGUUCUGAAAAUCUCUUGUGAAAUUGUCUCGCUCAACGGGACAGUGUGCAGGAGACACUCCAGAACUCGAGACCGGGAAGGGUAAGAGGUAUUCCUGAGGGAGCGGUAAAAUGCUAUAAUCUCAGGAGGACCACCUGUGGCGAAGGCGUCUUACUAGAACGGAUCUGACUGUGAGGGACGAAAGCUAGGGGAGCAAACCGGAUUAGAUACCCGAGUAGUCCUAGCCGUAAACGCUGUGAGCUAGGUGUUGCGUAUUCUACGGGAAUGCGCAGUGUCGAAAGGAAGCUAUUAAGCUCACCGCCUGGGAAGUACGGUCGCAAGACUGAAACUUUAAGGAAUUGGCGGGGGCGCACCACAAGGGGUGCGGCGUGCGGUUUAAUCUAACUCAACACAGAGAACCUCACUAGGAGCGACGGCAGGAAGAAAGUCAGUCUAAAGGGCUUACCUGACGAGCCGAGAGGUGGUGCAUGGCCAA
This 679-nucleotide ribosomal RNA is filed under the name uncultured archaeon. RNAcentral describes it as "bacterial SSU rRNA". It matches the Rfam family "Archaeal small subunit ribosomal RNA", at positions 321 to 1001 of the family's 1478-position model. The record is from RNAcentral.